RNAcentral lists this ribosomal RNA (250 nucleotides) under uncultured bacterium. Its description in RNAcentral is "partial 16S ribosomal RNA". It matches the Rfam family "Bacterial small subunit ribosomal RNA", at positions 524 to 773 of the family's 1533-position model. RNAcentral also lists the same sequence under 1 other name. The record is from RNAcentral.
UACGGAGGGUGCAAGCGUUAAUCGGAAUUACUGGGCGUAAAGCGCACGUAGGUGGUUUGUUAAGCUAGCUGUGAAAUCCCCGGGCUCAACCUGGGCACUGCAGUUAGAACUGGCAAGCUAGAGUAGGGUAGAGGGGUGUGGAAUUCCAGGUGUAGCGGUGAAAUGCGUAGAUAUCUGGAGGAACAUCAGUGGCGAAGGCGACACCCUGGACUCAUACUGACACUGAGGUGCGAAAGCGUGGGGAGCAAAC